RNAcentral lists this ribosomal RNA (602 nucleotides) under Filobasidium magnum. Its description in RNAcentral is "eukaryotic LSU rRNA". The stretch from base 144 to 297 matches the Rfam family "5.8S ribosomal RNA". Lineage: Eukaryota; Fungi; Basidiomycota; Tremellomycetes; Filobasidiales; Filobasidiaceae. The record is from RNAcentral.
UGUCGUCGCAGUCGGAGUCAGUAGGAGACCUGCGGAGUGCUUGUUCUUUGGUAGGACAUAGCAGGAGUGCGAUGAAGGAUGCUUGCAUCCACUUUUAAACUAAACAUUAUUGUAACAAAUGUAGUCUUAUUAUAACAUAAUAAAACUUUCAACAACGGAUCUCUUGGCUCUCGCAUCGAUGAAGAACGCAGCGAAAUGCGAUAAGUAAUGUGAAUUGCAGAAUUCAGUGAAUCAUCGAAUCUUUGAACGCACCUUGCGCUCCUUGGUAUUCCGAGGAGCAUGCCUGUUUGAGUGUCAUGAAACCCUCAAACCCAAGUUUUGGAUUUCGAUCCAUGCUUGAGUUUGGAUUUGGAUGUUUGCCGGUGAUGAACCGACUCAUCUUAAAAGUAUUAGCUUGGAUCUGUCUAUAUGACUGGUUUGACUUGGCAUAAUAAGUAUUUUGCUGAGGACAUCUUCGGAUGGCCAGGACCUAGACUACUGUCUGCUAACUAAACCAUCACUUUAAGUGCAUCUUUGGAUGUUACUCAUUGUGUAACUUUGACAUCUGGCCUCAAAUCAAGUAGACUACCCGCUGAACUUAAGCAUAUCAAUAAGCGGAGGAA